CGAAUGCUGACAUAAGUAACGAUAAAGCGGGUGAAAAGCCCGCUCGCCGGAAGACCAAGGGUUCCUGUCCAACGUUAAUCGGGGCAGGGUGAGUCGACCCCUAAGGCGAGGCCGAAAGGCGUAGUCGAUGGGAAACAGGUUAAUAUUCCUGUACUUGGUGUUACUGCGAAGGGGGGACGGAGAAGGCUAUGUUGGCCGGGCGACGGUUGUCCCGGUUUAAGCGUGUAGGCUGGUUUUCCAGGCAAAUCCGGAAAAUCAAGGCUGAGGCGUGAUGACGAGGCACUACGGUGCUGAAGCAACAAAUGCCCUGCUUCCAGGAAAAGCCUCUAAGCAUCAGGUAACAUCAAAUCGUACCCCAAACCGACACAGGUGGUCAGGUAGAGAAUACCAAGGCGCUUGAGAGAACUCGGGUGAAGGAACUAGGCAAAAUGGUGCCGUAACUUCGGGAGAAGGCACGCUGAUAUGUAGGUGAGGUCCCUCGCGGAUGGAGCUGAAAUCAGUCGAAGAUACCAGCUGGCUGCAACUGUUUAUUAAAAACACAGCACUGUGCAAACACGAAAGUGGACGUAUAC
This 572-nucleotide ribosomal RNA is filed under the name Escherichia coli. RNAcentral's name for it is "partial 23S ribosomal RNA". It matches the Rfam family "Bacterial large subunit ribosomal RNA", at positions 1291 to 1848 of the family's 2925-position model. The record is from RNAcentral. Lineage: Bacteria; Pseudomonadati; Pseudomonadota; Gammaproteobacteria; Enterobacterales; Enterobacteriaceae.